GAUGAACGCUGACAGAAUGCUUAACACAUGCAAGUCGAUGGGGAAGUGGUGCUUGCACCAUGGCAACCAUGGCGGACGGGUGAGUAACGCGUAAGGGACUUACCUGCAGGACUGGGAUAACAGGGGGAAACUCCUGACAAGACCGGAUAAUGUCAUGGAGCUGCAUGGCUUUAUGAUGAAAGGAGACGCCUGCGGAGAGCCUUGCGUCCUAUUAGCCAGUUGGUGAGGUAAUGGCUCACCAAGCCGAAGAUAGGUAGCCGGCCUGAGAGGGUGGACGGCCACAAGGGGAAUGAGAGACGGCACUUACUACUACGGGAGGCAGCAGUGGGGAAUAUUGGACCAUGGGGGCAACCGUGAUGAAGCAAUUCUGUGUGCACGAAGAAGGUUUUCGGAUUGUAAAGAGCUUUCAGCAGGGAAGAAGUAAGUGACGGUACCUGCAGAAGAAGCGACGGCUAACUACGUG
Molecule: ribosomal RNA, 463 nt
Filed under: uncultured bacterium
Lineage: Bacteria
Description: partial 16S ribosomal RNA
Rfam family: Bacterial small subunit ribosomal RNA
Source: RNAcentral